This 2700-nucleotide long non-coding RNA is filed under the name Sus scrofa (pig). RNAcentral describes it as "lncRNA (ENSSSCG00035010217.1)". The record is from RNAcentral. Lineage: Eukaryota; Metazoa; Chordata; Mammalia; Artiodactyla; Suidae.
AUCCCAGGCGCCGGCGGCAGCCCGGCAGCCCUCCGCCGGACCAUGGCGACCGACAGCUUACUUAGGGAGAUGAGCCAGUCCCUCUGGGCUGACUGCACUUAUGCCUUUUCCACUCCUGUUUGAGAAACUGUAAUUAACCUGGGAUGGAGCCCUGUGAAAGGUAAUCAGGUAAGGAGUGGGGGGGAGACGGCGAGCCGGGCAGGGGAAGGGGAGAUGAGUUAGCUGUUGUCUGACUAAGCCAUGCAAGAGGUUUUCGGGGGCUGAGCCCAGAAGUGUGUGGUGAAUACACAGAUGUAAUAGACAAUUUGGAGAUAGAAUCCAUGGCUUAUGGAUCUUAGAUGUGGCAGGUAAAGGAGACAAAAAAGAUUAUAGGGUUUUCAAGGCUAGGCAGCUGGUUCAAUGAAGCUCAUUGUUGGAGUUUCCAUUGUGGCUCAGAAUAAGAACCUGACAUAGUGUCCCUGAGGAUGUGGGUUCAAUCCCUGUCCCCUCCUUAGUGGGUUAAGGAUCCGACAUUGCUGUGAGCUGCAAUGGUCACAGAUGCAUAUGGGAUUCUGCGGUGCUGUGGCUGUGGUCUAGAUGGGCAGCUGCUCCAAUUUGACCCCUAACCUGGGAACUUCCAUAUGCUGCAGGUGUGGCUAUAAAAAAAUUAAAAAAUAAAAAUAGCUCUCAUUUUUUAAAAAAAAAAAAGAGAAAAAAGCACAUUUGGAGGCCAAGAUAAUUAGUUAUUUGGGGACACAUUUAAGGUACACUUGGAACUUCUGGAAGGGGAGGCAAUGUAGGCUAUUGUGUAGGCAAUGUGUACCUGGAACUGGGGAAAGAGUUGGUAUUGUAGAUGGGAAGGCUCAGAGUGAAUAAGAUCAUUGGUGAGAAUGAAUAGAGGAAGGAAAAGCAGAAAGUCCAGAGCUUGAGGGGGACAGCUGUGACAACAGUGGGUGACAAGCACAUCCCAGAUGAGGCCAGGAAAGGGGAGCCAGAGUCCAGAGCAGAGCUGGGGAGAAAAUGUCACAGAGGUAAAGGCAGGCAUUUGUCACAUCAUACAGGGCAGGGAGCCAGCAAAAAAAUCUUCAAAGGGCCACAAAUUUGACUUGGGAGGCAGUUUAGCUGAUGGUGUGAAGGCCCCUGCAGCUGGGGCAGAGGAACUGGAUGAAGGGAGGGGAAGAAGAGUGCAGGGACACAGGUUUGAUCCCCGGCCCCGCACAGUGGCUUAAGGAGCAGGUGUUGCCACAGCUAUAGCGUAAGUCACAACUGCAGCUCAGAUCCGAUCCCCAGCCUGGGAACUCCUCUGUGUGCUGCAGGGAGGCCAAAAAAGGGAAAAGAAAAAGCAACUUUUAGGAGAAGGUAAGGAGCUGAUAAAGGCAGCUUAACAUUCCUCUAAGAGAUGUAAGAGGAGAUGUGAAUGCGUUUAAAGGCUUGGGGGAAGCGAAUGGAAGGGGAACUGAGACAAACGAAGGAUUAUUAGUGGGCUGUCACCCACUGAGAUGAGGAGGUGGGGUUAGGUUAACCCUGCAGUACUAUCAUUUGGCACAGUUUUGGGGACUAGGGGCCACAUUGACUUGAGAAUGUCCUGGAAUGGGGUGGAUCGUAGCCCGUGCAGCAAGUAGCCAGAGCUCUCCUCUGCCUCUCUGGCGAUGGCGCUCAGGCCUCCCAGAAAAAUCCAGGAUCCUUUUGUAAGGACCCACCUGCAAUCCAGGUUAAAUCACAGGGAACCCACUCUUAGCAGUCGCUAUGUCGGGAUGCUUCCAGCCAUAUCCCAGGCUUGUUUCCAUCCCAGGUGAUGCUUGGCAGCUCCCCAGCUAGGAAAACGGAAUGACUCAAUCUUGCAUCAUUGCUCUCGAAUUCAAUAGCAUGUCAUAGACGUCAUGGGGGCUUUCCCUGAUUAGCAGUGUUCAUAUCAAAGUCUUAUGGAAUAUCUGAGUCUGAUUACUUGAAACGCUUUAAUUUUAACUGAUUAUCUUUACAAUGAAAAAAAAAAAACACUUUUCCCCGAAUUGUUCUAGGAAAAAUUCAGUACCUAGAUUGUAAGCAUUUUUGAAGAAAGGGAUUCUCUCCGGUUUAUUCCCUUUGGUGUUCUAUACAUCAGAUUUGAUUGACAAAAAUCUCUUGCUUUGGUUGUAAUGAGAAGUGCCUCUUUCUUCAGUUCACCCUCGUACAUGUUGGUGAUAAUUUGCAAAACUGACCUUCUCAUUACUCUUAUGGCCAACAUUAUGCUUUAUUUUUGACUCCAUGAUACAGUUAAGGGGCUGAACUGGCUGUUGCUCUGAAGGAUUAUUUGAUGACAGUUGCUCUGAGGAUUAUUUGAAACUAUAAGACAUCUUUUUACUUGACAUAAAGUUAAUUAGGGCUUUUUUUUUUUUUUUUUGAGUCACAUUGACACCAUACACACAGGGUUUUAUUGCCUGUUGCAUUACUGAUGAUUUAAUGUGUAGAGCUUGACUUUUCAUUGUUCUGUACUUGUCCCAAACAAACACAGUUUUAAAGACAGAAGAGGAGUUCCCACUUGGCGCAGCAGAAACGAAUCCGACUAGGAACCGUGAGGUUGUGGGUUUGAUCCCUGGCCUCACUCAGUGGGUUAAGGAUCUGACGUUGCCGUGAGCUGUGGUGUAGGUCACAGACGCAGCUCAGAUCUGGUGUUGCUGCAGCUGUGGCUGUGGCAGCUGUAGCUCUGACUGGACCCCUAGCCUGGGAACCUCCAUGUGCCGC